RNAcentral lists this ribosomal RNA (369 nucleotides) under uncultured bacterium. Its description in RNAcentral is "bacterial SSU rRNA". It matches the Rfam family "Bacterial small subunit ribosomal RNA", at positions 917 to 1289 of the family's 1533-position model. The record is from RNAcentral.
GGGCCCGCACAAGCGGUGGAGCAUGUGGUUUAAUUCGAUGAUACGCGAGGAACCUUACCAGGGCUUAAAUGUAGUCUGACAGGGGUGGAAACACCCCCUCCUUCGGGCAGAUUACAAGGUGCUGCAUGGUUGUCGUCAGCUCGUGCCGUGAGGUGUCAGGUUAAGUCCUAUAACGAGCGCAACCCCCUGCCGUUAGUUGCCAGCAUGUAAUGAUGGGAACUCUAACGGGACUGCCGGUGCAAACCGCGAGGAAGGUGGGAUGACGUCAAAUCAUCACGGCCCUUACGUCCUGGGCUACACACGUGCUACAAUGGCCGGUACAGAGGCAGCCACACCGCAAGGUGGAGCGAAUCCUUAAAACCGUGGCUC